This 468-nucleotide ribosomal RNA is filed under the name uncultured bacterium. Its description in RNAcentral is "bacterial SSU rRNA". It matches the Rfam family "Bacterial small subunit ribosomal RNA", at positions 335 to 796 of the family's 1533-position model. The record is from RNAcentral.
UGCCUACGGGGGGCAGCAGUGGGGAAUAUUGCACAAUGGGCGCAAGCCUGAUGCAGCCAUGCCGCGUGUAUGAAGAAGGCCUUCGGGUUGUAAAGUACUUUCAGCGAGGAGGAAGGCGUUAAGGUUAAUAACCUUGGCGAUUGACGUUACUCGCAGAAGAAGCACCGGCUAACUCCGUGCCAGCAGCCGCGGUAAUACGGAGGGUGCAAGCGUUAAUCGGAAUUACUGGGCGUAAAGCGCACGCAGGCGGUCUGUCAAGUCGGAUGUGAAAUCCCCGGGCUCAACCUGGGAACUGCAUUCGAAACUGGCAGGCUAGAGUCUUGUAGAGGGGGGUAGAAUUCCAGGUGUAGCGGUGAAAUGCGUAGAGAUCUGGAGGAAUACCGGUGGCGAAGGCGGCCCCCUGGACAAAGACUGACGCUCAGGUGCGAAAGCGUGGGGAGCAAACAGGAUUAGAUACCCCGGUAGUCA